This 253-nucleotide ribosomal RNA is filed under the name uncultured bacterium. RNAcentral describes it as "partial 16S ribosomal RNA". It matches the Rfam family "Bacterial small subunit ribosomal RNA", at positions 524 to 776 of the family's 1533-position model. The record is from RNAcentral.
GACGUAGGGGGCUAGCGUUGUUCGGAUUUACUGGGCGUAAAGGGUGUGUAGGUUGUAAAUCAAGUCAGGUGUGAAAGCCCUGGGCUUAACCCAGGAAUUGCGCUUGAUACUAGUUUACUAGAGGACGAGAGAGGAAAGUGGAACUCCUAGUGUAGAGGUGAAAUUCGUAGAUAUUAGGAAGAACACCAGAGGCGAAGGCGGCUUUCUGGCUCGUUACUGACACUGAGGCACGAAAGCGUGGGGAGCAAACAGG